RNAcentral lists this ribosomal RNA (2439 nucleotides) under Xiphinema americanum. RNAcentral describes it as "SSU rRNA". The stretch from base 1 to 1774 matches the Rfam family "Eukaryotic small subunit ribosomal RNA". Lineage: Eukaryota; Metazoa; Nematoda; Enoplea; Dorylaimida; Longidoridae. The record is from RNAcentral.
AAGAUUAAGCCAUGCAUGUCUAAGCACAUGCCUUAAUACGGUGAAGCCGCGAAUAGCUCAUUACAACAGCCACCGUUUACUAGAAAAUCAGUAUCCUACUCGGAUAACUGUGGCAAUUCUAGAGCUAAUACGUGCGAAAAAGCUCGUUUCGCAAGAUUCGAGCGCAUUUAUUAGAAUACAAACCAAUCGGGCCCAUAAAGCCCGUAAUUUGGUGAAUCUGAAUAACUUUGCCGAUCGCACGGUCCUAGUACCGGCGACGUAUCUUUCAAGUGUCUGCCUUAUCAACUUUCGAUGGUAGGUUAUACGCCUACCAUGGUAGUAACGGGUAACGGAGAAUAAGGGUUCGACUCCGGAGAGGGAGCCUGAGAAACGGCUACCACAUCCAAGGAAGGCAGCAGGCGCGCAAAUUACCCACUUCCAGAACGGAGAGGUAGUGACGAAAAAUAACGAGACAGUCCUCUUCGAGGUCUGUCAUCGGAAUGGGUACAAUUUAAAUCCUUUAACGAGGAUCUAUUGGAGGGCAAGUCUGGUGCCAGCAGCCGCGGUAAUUCCAGCUCCAAUAGCGUAUAUUAAAGUUGUUGCGGUUAAAACGCUCGUAGUUGGAUCUGCGGCCUCGGAGAACGGUCCCCCGAAAGGGCGGUCACUGUUACUCCAAGCCUAAAUAUCUAGUCUACUCUACGGUGCUCUUAACCGAGUGCCUAGAGUGACUGGAACGUUUACUUUGAAAAAAUUAGAGUGCUUAAAGCAGGCGAAAUAGCCUGAAUAAGGUGCAUGGAAUAAAGGAAUAGGACCUCGGUUCUAUUUUGUUGGUUUUCGGAGCCCGAGGUAAUGAUUAAGAGGAACAGACGGGGGCAUUCGUAUUCCGGCGCUAGAGGUGAAAUUCUUGGACCGCCGGAAGACGGACGACUGCGAAAGCAUUUGCCAAGAAUGUUUUCAUUAAUCAAGAACGAAAGUUAGAGGUUCGAAGGCGAUCAGAUACCGCCCUAGUUCUAACCGUAAACGAUGACAACCAGCGAUUAGUCGGUGUUAAUAUACGACCCGACUAGCAGCUUCCGGGAAACCAAAGUUUUUCGUUUCCGGGGGAAGUAUGGUUGCAAAGCUGAAACUUAAAGGAAUUGACGGAAGGGCACCACCAGGAGUGGAGCCUGCGGCUUAAUUUGACUCAACACGGGAAAACUCACCCGGCCCGGACACCGUAAGGAUUGACAGACUGAGAGCUCUUUCUUAAUUCGGUGGGUGGUGGUGCAUGGCCGUUCUUAGUUGGUGGAGCGAUUUGUCUGGUUAAUUCCGAUAACGAACGAGACUCUGGCCUAUUAAAUAGUCGGUAUAUCCAGAAAAGUUUACCGUACUUCUUAGAGGGACAAACGGCGUCUAGCCGCGUGAAAUAGAGCAAUAACAGGUCUGUGAUGCCCUUAGAUGUCCGGGGCUGCACGCGCGCUACACUGAAAGAAUCAGUAUGCGCUUUAACCUAGUCCGGAAGGAUUGGGUAACCCGAGCAAAUUCUUUCGUGCUUGGGAUAGGGAAUUGCAAUUAUUUCCCUUAAACGAGGAAUUCCCAGUAAAUGCGGGUCAUAAGCUCGCGUUGAUUACGUCCCUGCCCUUUGUACACACCGCCCGUCGCUACUACCGAUUGGAUGACUUAGUGAGGUCUUAGGACCGACGUAAAGGAGCUUUCGCGAGUUCUUUUUCGUUGGAAAUUUGAUCGAACUACGUUAUCUAGAGGAAGUAAAAGUCGUAACAAGGUUUCCGUAGGUGAACCUGCGGAAGGAUCAUUACCAAGCUAGAAAAAGAAUGAAUGAAAGAACGGCGAUAUAUAUAGAAUAUAGAAUGAAUUCUAUUCGCUAUUCGUCGUAGGGACUACGGGCGGGAAAAUGGGCGAGGGGCUCUAGCGCGAAAGCCUCGGUCAGUUAGUCGCCACUAUGAAUGAAUGAAAUCCAGACUCACGUCGGGGGGGGUGGAUCGUUGCACACGCGUCAGUUGUAGCGGAGUUGGGAUACCUACCCCCGGCCUCUGCCCAUUUACGAUCGUAUAGCCGCGCGCGCGAGAUAUCUGCGAUUCAUUAUCUCUUACGUUCGGGAUCGAGACGGGCGUAAAGUAUAUAUAUAACCGGCUCGAUUCUUCUUCGGGUACCUAUCGAAGCUAACGCCUGCGGUUUCGUCUGGCCGUAGCGGAUUAGCGUUAGUUUCGAGGACCCCUUUCCCAGUGUGGGAAGGGGCAGAUUUAAAGAGUCGCUGGCUCUCGUCCGAAUAAAGAGAGCGAUCUCGCUUCGAACUCGCGAAAUUUUCGAAUCUCGUCGUUAGUAGAAUAGACAACGGGUGUUUCGAAGGGGUUCGUCGUUCGGGAUCCUGGGUUCGCCCGGGUGACCGCCCGAAACAAAAAUAUUCUCAAAUAUAAUGGUAUAAGAAAGAAAGAAUCUAAUAGAUUCCAUCAUUCUAAGCGG